GACGAACGCUGGCGGCGUGCUUAACACAUGCAAGUCGAACGGAAAGGCCCUGCUUUUGUGGGGUGCUCGAGUGGCGAACGGGUGAGUAACACGUGAGUAACCUGCCCUUGACUUUGGGAUAACUUCCGGAAACUGGGGCUAAUACCGGAUAGGAGCUCCUGCUGCAUGGUGGGGGUGGGAAAGUUUCGGCGGUUGGGGAUGGACUCGCGGCUUAUCAGCUUGUUGGUGGGGUAGUGGCUUACCAAGGCUUUGACGGGUAGCCGGCCUGAGAGGGUGACCGGCCACAUUGGGACUGAGAUACGGCCCAGACUCCUACGGGAGGCAGCAGUGGGGAAUAUUGCACAAUGGGCGGAAGCCUGAUGCAGCAACGCCGCGUGCGGGAUGACGGCCUUCGGGUUGUAAACCGCUUUCGCCUGUGACGAAGCGUGAGUGACGGUAAUGGGUAAAGAAGCACCGGCUAACUACGUG
RNAcentral lists this ribosomal RNA (468 nucleotides) under uncultured bacterium. Its description in RNAcentral is "partial 16S ribosomal RNA". It matches the Rfam family "Bacterial small subunit ribosomal RNA", at positions 28 to 507 of the family's 1533-position model. The record is from RNAcentral.